GUGCGCUCGAGGACAGGUCAUUUAUACCACUGUUUUGCGACACCGUCUUUUAUACUAUGCCAUUCAAUUCCGACUGCAAGCUCGCAAAUCGGUAUUUCGUUCAAGCACCGAAACAAACUGUAGAGUAAGAAGAACGCGCAUGCGCAAGAACACGACGCUCAGAAGGGAAGACAAUUCUCCAGCGGUAUCUAGAAAGUGUUUCUCCCUUGAUUGCCAAGGUAUUUUUCCUUUCCAAAGCCAUCAAGUCAUAAGUGUCAGAGCCCAAUGGUUCAACACAUUUCUUUCGGAUAUGCCCCUAUUUGUGAGCUGGAGGACUCACCAACUGGAGGCCCAAUGCAGCCAUGGAAACACUCCUCAAAACACCUGUCAGACCUGCCCCUGUUCAAACACCUGCUGCAGGAAUCAGAGUCUACCAUCAGGGCUUUGCCUGAGAUGUUUAGGUUCUGCUCACCAUCGCCACGAGAGAGCAACAAGGUUUUGGGGCUGUUAUGGGAACCGGAUUUGGACAGUGAUCCAGUUUUUUUGCGUGGAAAAACAUAGCCGGGUUUCAGAUUGGGCAUUGGCUCCAGCCCCAGUACAAAAGGAAAAUGUUUCAAGAUAUUUUUACUGCUAAUAGGCAUUUCUAGGCAAUAUUGAAGAGGGCUUUAACCGUCAUCUUUCAUCUCAGCUCCCCUAAAAGUCUAUUUACUCUGCUGUCAGCACUUUUAUAAAUCAGUGAUUGUGAUUUUCUUCAUGUUUACUGAGAACAGCAGCUGCAGUAAGCUAUGUGAGGUUAUUUCAAUCAUAUUUCAUCCUUAUCAGAUUUUAAAAACAUCCCCCUAGUUAUUGGCGGACACGGUCAAAGAUGAUGUACGGUGACAAUGCAUAUAUCUGUCACAGAUGUCUCUCGUUCGAGCGCUUGUUGCACUGAAAUCCCAAAAUAAACGCAAUCAAAUCUGCUGUUACUGAAAUACA
This is a long non-coding RNA of Cyprinus carpio (common carp), 954 nucleotides long. The record is from Ensembl. Lineage: Eukaryota; Metazoa; Chordata; Actinopteri; Cypriniformes; Cyprinidae.